Molecule: unclassified non-coding RNA, 240 nt
Filed under: soil metagenome
Description: partial contains 5.8S ribosomal RNA, internal transcribed spacer 2, and large subunit ribosomal RNA
Source: RNAcentral
AACGGUCUAUACCUGCGGUACCUGCGGAGGGAUCAUUACCGAGUGAGGGCCCUCUGGGUCCAACCUCCCACCCGUGUUUAUCGUACCUUGUUGCUUCGGCGGGCCCGCCGCAAGGCCGCCGGGGGGCUUCCGCCCCCGGGCCCGCGCCCGCCGAAGACACCUGUGAACGCUGUAUGAAGAUUGCAGUCUGAGGGAAAAGCUAAAUUUAUUAAAACUUUCAGCAACGGAUCUCUAGAUCGG